RNAcentral lists this ribosomal RNA (92 nucleotides) under Neogale vison (American mink). Lineage: Eukaryota; Metazoa; Chordata; Mammalia; Carnivora; Mustelidae. The record is from RNAcentral.
GUCUACAGCCAUACCACCCUGAACGCGCCCGAUCUCGUCUGAUCUCGGAAGCUAAGCAGGGUCGGGCCUGGUUAGUACUUGGAUGGGAGAUU